CCUACGGGAGGCAGCAGUGGGGAAUAUUGCACAAUGGGGGAAACCCUGAUGCAGCGACGCCGCGUGAGGGAAGAAGUAAUUCGUUACGUAAAGCUCUAUCAGCAGGGAAGAAAAUGACGGUACCUGAGUAAGAAGCCCCGGCUCACUACGUGCCAGCAGCCGCGGUAAUACGUCGGGGGCAAGCGUUAUCCGGAUGUACUGGGGGGAAAGGGGGCGUAGACGGUGCGCCAAGUCUGGAGUGAAAUGGCGGAGCUUAACUGCCGAACUGCUUUUGAAACUGGCGAACUAGAGUGCGGGAGAGGUAAGCGGAAUGCCUAGUGUAGCGGUGAAAUGCGUAGAUAUUACGAGGAACACCGAUGGCGAAGGCGGCUUACUGGACCGUAACUGACGUUGAGGCUCGAAAGCGUGGGGAGCGAACAGGAUUAGAUACCCUAGUAGUC
This 440-nucleotide ribosomal RNA is filed under the name uncultured bacterium. RNAcentral's name for it is "partial 16S ribosomal RNA". It matches the Rfam family "Bacterial small subunit ribosomal RNA", at positions 338 to 795 of the family's 1533-position model. The record is from RNAcentral.